AUCUGGAUAGCUCAGUUGGUUGGACCAUGGUGCUGAUAAUGCCAAGGUUGCAGGUUCAAUCUCCGCAUGGGACA
RNAcentral lists this transfer RNA (74 nucleotides) under Podarcis lilfordi (Lilford's wall lizard). Its description in RNAcentral is "tRNA.Ile". Lineage: Eukaryota; Metazoa; Chordata; Lepidosauria; Squamata; Lacertidae. The record is from RNAcentral.